GCUCCGGUAGCCUGGUGGUUAGGGCGUCCGCCUUGGAUGCGGAAGUCUUGGGUUCGAACCCUACUGAGUCA
Molecule: non-coding RNA, 71 nt
Organism: Potamilus streckersoni
Lineage: Eukaryota; Metazoa; Mollusca; Bivalvia; Unionida; Unionidae
Source: the annotation of a GenBank genome assembly